Molecule: ribosomal RNA, 1037 nt
Filed under: Conochilus unicornis
Lineage: Eukaryota; Metazoa; Rotifera; Eurotatoria; Flosculariaceae; Conochilidae
Description: eukaryotic LSU rRNA
Rfam family: Eukaryotic large subunit ribosomal RNA
Source: RNAcentral
GUAACGGCGAGUGAACAGGGAAGAGCCCAUCACCGAAUCCUUUCAGGUCUCUCUGACAAGGAAUUGUGGUGUAAAGGAUAGUCUAUGUGGUAGUGUUGUCGGCCCGAGUUCUCUUGAAUGGGGCUUACCCACAGCGGGUGUCAGGCCUCUAUUCGCCGAUUGAUGCUAUUGCUUUGAUUGUCUUGAGAGUCGGAUUGCUUGAGAUCGCAGUCCUAAGAUGGGUGGUAAACUCCAUCCAAGGCUAAAUACAGUCGCGAGACCGAUAGCGAACAAGUACCGUGAGGGAAAGUUGAAAAGAACUUUGAAGAGAGAGUUCAAUAGUACGUGAAACCGUAUAGGGGUAAACGGGUGGAAACGCUAAAUCGGCUUGAAGAAUUCAAAUCGGCAUUAGCGCGUUUAGUUAGUGCGUGUGAUACAUGGUUCUAAUGCCAGCUGUGCACGUAAUAACUUACAAUGUCGGUUGCACUUUUUUCAAGUCGAGCGCCUCGACCGAUUACCGAGUACAUAAGCUUCUGAAAGGCUUCAAUUAGGUACCGUGACACGUUUGCGGACUAAUAAAUUGUUGCUAAUAUGUACUUGUUGAUCGUGGACUGCAAGCAUAAAUAUCAGCGCUCGCGAGAUAAAUGUUUUUCUGUUUGCUUCGGUGAAAACAUCUGCUCCCUAGUGAGUGUGUUCUUGCCUGGCUUUCAUUGGGUGUUUAUUCUCAUUGAUAUUUGAGUCUGAGGCGAAUGGUCGUCAGUCUACCCGACCCGUCUUGAAACACGGACCAAGGAGUCCAACAUGUACGCAAGUCAUUGGGUUCUACGAAACCUAAAGGCGAAAUGAAAGUAAAAGUCACUGCUCGGUGACUGAGGUGUGAUCCGGACUUUGGUCUGGCGCAACACCGUCCGGUCACAAUUACUCUGUAAUGUGGCCGCGAAAGAGCGUACAUGUUGGGACCCGAAAGAUGGUGAACUAUGCCUGAGCAGGAUGAAGCCAGAGGAAACUCUGGUGGAGGUCCGUAGCGAUUCUGACGUGCAAAUCGAUCGUCAAACUUG